Non-coding RNA from Potamilus streckersoni, 77 nucleotides. NCBI's taxonomy places the organism in Eukaryota, Metazoa, Mollusca, Bivalvia, Unionida, Unionidae. The record is from the annotation of a GenBank genome assembly.
GACCACUCUGGUGGCUGAGUGGUUAAAGUGUCUGCCUCAGAUGUGGGAGGUUGUGGGUUCAAACCCUGGCCAAGUCA